AAGAACAUCGGGAAUGAAAGAUUCAACCAACAUCACCGCAAUACCAUACACAGAUUUGUCAAUACUUUGGGGAGAAAUAGUUUGGUAUGCAAGAUUUGCAAGAUAGAUGAUGGUGAAGACUGGUUGGGAUGUGAUUCAUGUGGGCAGUACUUUCAUGCAAGUUGUCUGAAUUUUGACUUUGGACAAACUCUGACAGAGUACUUUGCUUGCCCAUAAUCAGACAUGACAAUUGUAUAAUAAUACAAAACAUAAAUUGUAAGAUUUAAAAGUGCCGAAAAAAAAAGACUUACCGAUUAGAA
Xenia sp. Carnegie-2017 is the source of this 299-nucleotide long non-coding RNA. RefSeq lists it as uncharacterized. The record is from RefSeq and is a predicted model, not a curated record. Lineage: Eukaryota; Metazoa; Cnidaria; Anthozoa; Malacalcyonacea; Xeniidae. The transcript is spliced from 2 exons.